This is a non-coding RNA of Pogona vitticeps (central bearded dragon), 538 nucleotides long. Lineage: Eukaryota; Metazoa; Chordata; Lepidosauria; Squamata; Agamidae. The record is from RefSeq and is a predicted model, not a curated record.
GUGUGUUGAACAUUAUCUCUUCUGUUGAAGUAUUUGAACAAACUGAAUAUUCCUUCUAUUCAGUGUUUUGCGCAAGCUGGAUGGAGAGACCAUAAGAUGCUAUUGGAGGCAUAAAUGCAACCGAAUUGGAGAAGAGGCAACAGACACAAUAGUAUUCAGCACAUCAAGUGAUGGUUUUUAUUAUCUGAGCUGGAUUGAUGAUAAUCAACAUUGAUAAAGUGGUUUCACAAAUGCAGGGAUAUUAUUGUUCAUGAUUAAUUCGUUUUGUUAUGACCAGUAAAUUUGGCUGGAAGAUAAACAUUCCCACAUAUUCCUUGUGAACAUGUUGAAUGAAAUGAAUUGAAACCAGUUACCUGGACGUCACUCAAGAUCAGCUUUAUUCAGUCAGAAGAUCUGAGAUGCCUGUUCCUUUAUUGCUGAAGUGAUUAAGAGAAAGGGACUCCAAGAAAAAAGGGAAGGUGACCAUGUAAUUUAAAUCUUACUAACAGUAUUUAGUAGUAUUACAGUAUUUUGUAUGCUAAAACAAAACAAAACAAGA